CAACCCUUGACAUGCCAGGACGAUUCCCAGAAACGGGUUUCUUCCAGCAAUGGACCUGGACACAGGUGCUGCAUGGCUGUCGUCAGCUCGUGUCGUGAGAUGUUGGGUUAAGUCCCGCAACGAGCGCAACCCUCAUCUUCAGUUGCCAGCGGUUCGGCCGGGCACUCUGAAGAAACUGCCGGUGACAAGCCGGAGGAAGGUGGGGAUGACGUCAAGUCCUCAUGGCCCUUACGGGUUGGGCUACACACGUGCUACAAUGGCGGUGACAAUGGGCAGCAAAGCCGCAAGGCUGAGCUAAUCUCAAAAAGCCGUCUCAGUUCGGAUUGCGCUCUGCAACUCGAGUGCAUGAAGUCGGAAUCGCUAGUAAUCGUGGAUCAGCACGCCACGGUGAAUA
RNAcentral lists this ribosomal RNA (394 nucleotides) under uncultured bacterium. Its description in RNAcentral is "bacterial SSU rRNA". It matches the Rfam family "Bacterial small subunit ribosomal RNA", at positions 975 to 1368 of the family's 1533-position model. The record is from RNAcentral.